GACGAACGCUGGCGGCGUGCUUAACACAUGCAAGUCGAGCGAUGAAGUUCCUUCGGGAAUGGAUUAGCGGCGGACGGGUGAGUAACACGUGGGUAACCUGCCUCAUAGAGGGGAAUAGCCUUCCGAAAGGAAGAUUAAUACCGCAUAAGAUUGUAGUAUCGCAUGAUACAGCAAUUAAAGGAGUAAUUCGCUAUGAGAUGGACCCGCGUCGCAUUAGCUAGUUGGUGAGGUAACGGCCAACCAAGGCGACGAUGCGUAGCCGACCUGCAAGGGUGAUCGGCCACAUUGGGACUGAGACACGGCCCAGACUCCUACGGGAGGCAGCAGUGGGGAAUAUUGCACAAUGGGGGAAACCCUGAUGCAGCAACGCCGCGUGAGUGAUGACGGUCUUCGGAUUGUAAAGCUCUGUCUUCAGGGACGGUAAUGACGGUACCUGAGGAGGAAGCCACGGCUAACUACGUGCCAGCAGCCGCGGUAA
This 478-nucleotide ribosomal RNA is filed under the name uncultured bacterium. RNAcentral's name for it is "partial 16S ribosomal RNA". It matches the Rfam family "Bacterial small subunit ribosomal RNA", at positions 28 to 523 of the family's 1533-position model. The record is from RNAcentral.